Molecule: unclassified non-coding RNA, 391 nt
Filed under: soil metagenome
Description: partial contains 5.8S ribosomal RNA, internal transcribed spacer 2, and large subunit ribosomal RNA
Rfam family: 5.8S ribosomal RNA (bases 1-122)
Source: RNAcentral
GAUGAAGAACGUAGCGAAAUGCGAUACUUGGUGUGAAUUGCAGAAUCCCGUGAACCAUCGAGUCUUUGAACGCAAGUUGCGCCCGAAGCCAUUAGGCCGAGGGCACGCCUGCCUGGGCGUCACACGUCGUUGCCCCCCCAUCUACUCCUUCGGGAUUGCGGGGGGCGGAUGAUGGCCUCCCGUGCGCCUCGUCGCGCGGUUGGCAUAAAUGCCAAGUCCUCGGCGACGCGCGCCACGACAAUCGGUGGUUGCGAAACCUCGGUUGCCCGUCGUGUGCGGUCGUCGCGCAUCGAGGGCUCGAAAAAAUUGCCGGGCUCCGGCUCGGCUUUCAACGCGACCCCAGGUCAGGCGGGGUUACCCGCUGAAUUUAAGCAUAUCAAUAAGCGGAGGA